Molecule: ribosomal RNA, 650 nt
Filed under: uncultured Vagococcus sp.
Lineage: Bacteria; Bacillati; Bacillota; Bacilli; Lactobacillales; Enterococcaceae
Description: bacterial SSU rRNA
Rfam family: Bacterial small subunit ribosomal RNA
Source: RNAcentral
CGCCCUUAGAGUUUGAUCCUGGCUCAGGACGAACGCUGGCGGCGUGCCUAAUACAUGCAAGUCGAACGCAGCUUGCUUUGGUAAGAUGAGUGGCGAACGGGUGAGUAACACGUGGGUAACCUGCCUAUCAGAGGGGGAUAACACUUGGAAACAGGUGCUAAUACCGCAUAGAUUUCUUUCGCAUGAAAAGAGAGGAAAGACGUACGUGUCACUGAUAGAUGGACCCGCGGUGCAUUAGCUAGUUGGUGAGGUAACGGCUCACCAAGGCCAUGAUGCAUAGCCGACCUGAGAGGGUGAUCGGCCACACUGGGACUGAGACACGGCCCAGACUCCUACGGGAGGCAGCAGUAGGGAAUCUUCGGCAAUGGACGAAAGUCUGACCGAGCAACGCCGCGUGAGUGAAGAAGGUUUUCGGAUCGUAAAACUCUGUUGUUAGAGAAGAAUAGGUAGGAGUGACUUCCUGCCAUGACGGUAUCUAACCAGAAAGCCACGGCUAACUACGUGCCAGCAGCCGCGGUAAUACGUAGGUGGCAAGCGUUGUCCGGAUUUAUUGGCGUAAAGCGAGCGCAGGCGGUUUCUUAAGUCUGAUGUGAAAGCCCCCGGCUUACCGGGGGAGGGCAUUGGAAACUGGGAGACUUGAGUGCAGAAGA